Molecule: ribosomal RNA, 895 nt
Filed under: uncultured bacterium
Lineage: Bacteria
Description: bacterial SSU rRNA
Rfam family: Bacterial small subunit ribosomal RNA
Source: RNAcentral
CCUGGCUCAGAACGAACGCGGGCGGCGUGCUUAACACAUGCAAGUCGAUCGGUAACAGGUGUAGCAAUACAUGCUGACGAGAGGCGGACGGGUGAGGAAUAUUUGGGAAUCUGCCCAUCAGCGGGGGACAACCCGGGGAAACUCGGGCUAAUACCGCAUACGCUCUAAGGAGGAAGGCCGGGGACCGCAAGGCCUGGCACUGAUGGAUGAGCCCAAAUCGGAUUAGCUAGUUGGCGGGGUAACGGCCCACCAAGGCGACGAUCCGUAGCUGGUCUGAGAGGACGAUCAGCCACACCGGAACUGAGACACGGUCCGGACUCCUACGGGAGGCAGCAGUGGGGAAUAUUGGACAAUGGGGGAAACCCUGAUCCAGCGACGCCGCGUGGGUGAAGAAGGCCUGCGGGUUGUAAAGCCCUUUCGGUAGGGAAGAAAUCUCUUGCUCUAACACAGCAAGGGUUUGACUUAACCUACAUAAGAAGCACCGGCUAACUCUGUGCCAGCAGCCGCGGUAAUACAGAGGGUGCGAGCGUUAAUCGGAAUUACUGGGCGUAAAGCGCACGUAGUCGGCUUGCCAAGUCGGGUGUGAAAUCCCCGGGCUCAACCUGGGAACUGCAUCCGAAACUGGCUUGCUAGAGUAUGGGAGAGGGAAGCGGAAUUUCUGGUGUAGCAGUGAAAUGCGUAGAUAUCAGAAGGAACAUCAGUGGCGAAGGCGGCUUCCUGGACCAAUACUGACGAUCAGGUGCGAAAGCGUGGGGAGCAAACAGGAUUAGAUACCCUGGUAGUCCACGCCCUAAACGAUGACAACUGGAUGUCGGGAGGGUUUGCCUUCCGGUGUCGUAGCUAACGCGUUAAGUUGUCCGCCUGGGAAGUACGGCCGCAAGGUUGAAACUCAAAG